Molecule: ribosomal RNA, 486 nt
Filed under: uncultured bacterium
Lineage: Bacteria
Description: partial 16S ribosomal RNA
Rfam family: Bacterial small subunit ribosomal RNA
Source: RNAcentral
GACGAACGCUGGCGGCGUGCUUAACACAUGCAAGUCGAACGAUGAAGCGGUGCUUGCACCGUGGAUUAGUGGCGAACGGGUGAGUAAUACGUGAGUGACCUGCCCUUGACUCUGGGAUAAGCCUGGGAAACUGGGUCUAAUACUGGAUACGACCAUCAGAUGCAUGUCUUGGUGGUGGAAAGGGUUUGUACUGGUUUUGGAUGGGCUCACGGCCUAUCAGCUUGUUGGUGGGGUAAUGGCUUACCAAGGCGACGACGGGUAGCCGGCCUGAGAGGGUGACCGGCCACACUGGGACUGAGGCACGGCCCAGACUCCUACGGGAGGCAGCAGUGGGGAAUAUUGCACAAUGGGCGCAAGCCUGAUGCAGCGACGCCGCGUGAGGGAUGACGGCCUUCGGGUUGUAAACCUCUUUCAGCAGGGAAGAAGCUUUUGUGACGGUACCUGCAGAAGAAGCGCCGGCUAACUACGUGCCAGCAGCCGCGGUAA